This 1216-nucleotide ribosomal RNA is filed under the name metagenome. RNAcentral's name for it is "bacterial SSU rRNA". It matches the Rfam family "Bacterial small subunit ribosomal RNA", at positions 281 to 1481 of the family's 1533-position model. The record is from RNAcentral.
GGCUAGGUGGUCUGUGAGGACGAUCACCCACACUGGGACUGAGACACUGCCCAGACUCCUACGGGAGGCUGCAGUCGAGGAUCAUUGUCAAUGCGCGAAAGCGUGAACAUGCGACGCUGCGUGGAGGAUGACAGCCUUCGGGUUGUAAACUCCUGUCAUUCGGGAAAAAUGGUCCUGUCCCUAAUAUGGGCGGGAUUUGAUGGUACCGGAAGAGGAAGCCACGGCUAACUCUGUGCCAGCAGCCGCGGUAAUACAGAGGUGGCGAGCGUUGUUCGGAUUUACUGGGCGUAAAGGGUGCGUAGGUGGCUUUGUGUGUUGGAUGUGAAAUCCCACGGCUCAACUGUGGAAUUGCAUUCGAAACUGCAGGGCUAGAGUGCAGGAGGGGAGCGGAAUUCUAGGUGUAGCGGUGAAAUGCGUUGAUAUCUAGAAGAACACCGGUGGCGAAGGCGGCUCUCUGGAAUGUUACUGACACUGAGGCACGAAAGCUGGGGGAGCAAACAGGAUUAGAUACCCUGGUAGUCCCAGCCGUAAACGGUGCACACUUGGUGUAGGGGGUAUUGACCCCCCCUGUGCCGGAGCUAACGCGUUAAGUGUGCCGCCUGGGGAGUACGGCCGCAAGGCUAAAACUCAAAGAAAUUGACGGGGGCCCGCACAAGCGGAGGAGCAUGUGGCUUAAUUCGAUGCAACGCGAAGAACCUUACCAGGGCUUGACAUGCAGCUGCUUCCUCCCUGAAAGGGGAGGGUCCUUCGAGGGUGCUGCACAGGUGCUGCAUGGCUGUCGUCAGUUCGUGCCGUGAGGUGUUGGGUUAAGUCCCGCAACGAACGCAACCCUUGUGUUUAGUUGCCACCGGAGGUGAUGAGCCUUCGAGCACUCUAGACAGACUGCCCGUACAAGCGGGAGGAAGGUGGGGAUGACGUCAAGUCAGUAUGGCCCUUACGCCCUGGGCUGCACACGUGCUACAAUGGCUGGUACAGAAGGAUGCAAUACCGCGAGGUGGAGCGAAUCCCGAAAGCCAGCCCCAGUUCGGAUUGGAGUCUGCAACUCGACUCCAUGAAGUUGGAUUCGCUAGUAACGGCGUAUCAGCUACGACGCCGUGAAUACGUUCCCGGGCCUUGUACACACCGCCCGUCACAUCAUGAAAGCCGUCUGGACCCGAAGUCGCUGAGCUAACCCGCAAGGGAGGCAGGUGCCGAAGGUCUGGGUGGUGAUUGGGAU